AAUUUAAUCUUGGAUCCAGGACGAACGCUGGGCGGCGUUCUUUACACAUGCAAGUGGAACGGAAAGGCCCCAGCUUGCUGGGGUACUCGAGUGGCGAACGGGUGAGUAACACGUGGGUGAUCUUCCCUGCACUUCGGGAUAAGCCUGGGAAACUGGGUCUAAUACCGGAUAGGACCCUCCUUUAGUGUGGGGGGUGGAAAGAUUUUUCGGUGUGGGAUGAGCCCGCGGCCUAUCAGCUUGUUGGUGGGGUAGUGGCCUACCAAGGCGUCGACGGGUAGCCGGCCUGAGAGGGUGGACGGCCACAUUGGGACUGAGAUACGGCCCAGACUCUUACGGGAGGCAGCAGUGGGGAAUAUUGCACAAUGGGCGGAAGCCUGAUGCAGCGACGCCGCGUGGGGGAUGACGGCUUUCGGGUUGUAAACCUCUUUCGACAGGGACGAAGCUUUGUAGGUGACGGUACCUGUAUAAGAAGCACCGGCUAACUACGUGCCAGCAGCCGCGGUAAUACGUAGGGUGCGAGCGUUGUCCGGAAUUACUGGGCGUAAAGAGCUCGUAGGUGGUUUGUCGCGUCGUCUGUGAAAUUCCGGGGCUUAACUUCGGGCGUGCAGGCGAUACGGGCAAUACUUGAGUGCUGUAGGGGGAGACUGGAAUUUCCUGGUGUAGCGGUGAAAUGCGCAGAUAUCAGGAGGAAACACCGAUGGCGAAGGCCGGUUUCUGGGCCAUAAAUGACGGGAGGAGGGAAGCCAUGGUAGCGAACCAGGAUUAGAUCCCCUGUUAGUCCAUCCGGUAAACGGUGGGCGCUAGAGUGUAGGGGUCUUCCACGACUUCUGUGCUGUAGCUAAC
Molecule: ribosomal RNA, 843 nt
Filed under: uncultured bacterium
Lineage: Bacteria
Description: bacterial SSU rRNA
Rfam family: Bacterial small subunit ribosomal RNA
Source: RNAcentral